RNAcentral lists this unclassified non-coding RNA (343 nucleotides) under soil metagenome. Its description in RNAcentral is "partial contains 5.8S ribosomal RNA, internal transcribed spacer 2, and large subunit ribosomal RNA". The stretch from base 1 to 120 matches the Rfam family "5.8S ribosomal RNA", at positions 35 to 154 of the family's 154-position model. The record is from RNAcentral.
GAUGAAGAACGUAGCGAAAUGCGAUAAGUAAUGUGAAUUGCAGAAUCCAGUGAAUCAUCGAAUCUUUGAACGCACAUUGCGCCCGCCAGCAUUCUGGCGGGCAUGCCUGUUCGAGCGUCAUUUCAACCCUCGACCUCCCUUUGGGGAAGUCGGCGUUGGGGACCGGCAGCACACCGCCGGCCCUGAAAUGGAGUGGCGGCCCGUCCGCGGCGACCUCUGCGUAGUAAUCCACCUCGCACCGGAACCCCGACGCGGCCACGCCGUAAAACACCCAACUUCUGAACGUUGACCUCGAAUCAGGUAGGACUACCCGCUGAACUUAAGCAUAUCAAUAAGCGGAGGA